GAACGACUCUCGGCAACGGAUAUCUCGGCUCUCGCAUCGAUGAAGAACGUAGCGAAAUGCGAUACUUGGUGUGAAUUGCAGAAUCCCGUGAACCAUCGAGUUUUUGAACGCAAGUUGCGCCCGAGCCCCUCAGCCCGAGGGCACGCCUGCCUGGGCGUCAC
This 161-nucleotide ribosomal RNA is filed under the name Eschscholzia lemmonii subsp. lemmonii. RNAcentral describes it as "5.8S ribosomal RNA". It matches the Rfam family "5.8S ribosomal RNA". Rfam says of the family: 5.8S ribosomal RNA (5.8S rRNA) is a component of the large subunit of the eukaryotic ribosome. Lineage: Eukaryota; Viridiplantae; Streptophyta; Magnoliopsida; Ranunculales; Papaveraceae. The record is from RNAcentral.